GCCGGGCGCGGUGGCUCAAGCCUGUAAUCCCAGCGCUUUGGGAGGCCGAGACGGGCGGAUCACGAGGUCAGGAGAUCAAGACCAUCCUGGCUAACCCGGUGAAACCCCGUCUCUAGUAAAAAAUACAAAAANNNNNNNNNNUUUUUGUAUUUUUUACUAGAGACGGGGUUUCACCGUGUUAGCCAGGAUGGUCUCGAUCUCCUGACCUCGUGAUCCGCCCGUCUCGG
Molecule: signal recognition particle RNA, 227 nt
Filed under: Chlorocebus sabaeus (green monkey)
Lineage: Eukaryota; Metazoa; Chordata; Mammalia; Primates; Cercopithecidae
Description: Metazoan signal recognition particle RNA
Rfam family: Metazoan signal recognition particle RNA
About the family: The signal recognition particle (SRP) is a universally conserved ribonucleoprotein.
Source: Rfam by way of RNAcentral